Molecule: ribosomal RNA, 429 nt
Filed under: uncultured bacterium
Lineage: Bacteria
Description: bacterial SSU rRNA
Rfam family: Bacterial small subunit ribosomal RNA
Source: RNAcentral
UGGGGAAUAUUGGGCAAUGGGCGAAAGCCUGACCCAGCAAUGCCGUGUGAGCGAUGAAGUUCUUCGGAAUGUAAAGCUCUUUUAUGAGGAAAGAAAGCUUAUGGGGUAAUAUCUCAUCUGCUUGACGGUACCUCAUGAAUAAGCCCCGGCUAACUCCGUGCCAGCAGCCGCGGUAAUACGGAGGGGGCGAGCGUUGUUCGGAAUCACUGGGCGUAAAGGGCGCGUAGGCGGUCAUGUAUGUCAGGUGUGAAAUCCCUAGGCUUAACUUAGGAAUUGCGCUUGAAACUGCAUGGCUAGAGGCUGGGAGAGGAAAGUGGAAUUCCUGGUGUAGCGGUGAAAUGCGUAGAUAUCAGGAGGAACACCGGUGGCGAAAGCGGCUUUCUGGACCAGUUCUGACGCUGAGGCGCGAAAGCGUGGGGAGCAAACGGG